Molecule: long non-coding RNA, 684 nt
Filed under: Mytilus galloprovincialis (Mediterranean mussel)
Lineage: Eukaryota; Metazoa; Mollusca; Bivalvia; Mytilida; Mytilidae
Source: RNAcentral
CACACUUUUAUUUGCUAAUCCAGUUUGUUCGUUAGAUGAUAAAUCUGAUCAAAAAUACUUGCAUAAAAAUUUCCUCCAUUCUAAAUAAUCACAGGUAUUUUUAAUAAAUAAAAUCAGGGUAGCACUUUCAUGAAUAUUUACAUCAUAAUAAUACAUGUAUACACAAUUACCGGUAUGCAUAAUCAGUAUUUUAAACAAUGCUGAUUGGUCAUUACAAGGUCAAACAAAAUUAACAACAAUGCUAUAAUGGUUAGGUACGAAGGUCAUUUUCUGUUCAUUCUCAAUUAACAAACAUGCUCCUGAGGUGUUCUUUUCCUGUUUUUCUGGGUUCUAAUUCUGAUAUUUAUCAAGAGAUCAAAUUCAUGCGAGAGAAUCCUUUUCUUAUUACUGUACAGUAGUUCAUAGUUUAGAAAUAAAAUCAAGGUGGUUAUUAAAUCAGAUCUUAGUAUUGUAUAGAUAUCAAGGUGGUUAUUAAAUCAGAUCUUAGUAUUGUAUAUAUAUCAAGACAUAACUGGGUCAAGAAAAUAGUUUAAUAUGUAAAAUUUGGAGAGCAAAAUUGAAGUAAUAAUAAAUACAAUUUAUAUAUCACAAUUAAAUUAAUUUACUUUAGAAUCAAUUAACUCUUUUAUUCCCCAAAACUGGAAUUAAUGGAUGAAGACACUUAUAAUUCAAUGAUGUAAAGAG